GCUCUGGUAGCAUGUUGGUUAAGCGCUCGGCUUCUAACUGAAAGGUCGGCAGUUUGAACCUGCCCAGCAGCU
RNAcentral lists this transfer RNA (72 nucleotides) under Loxodonta africana (African savanna elephant). It matches the Rfam family "tRNA". Rfam says of the family: Transfer RNA (tRNA) molecules are approximately 80 nucleotides in length. The record is from Rfam by way of RNAcentral. Lineage: Eukaryota; Metazoa; Chordata; Mammalia; Proboscidea; Elephantidae.